UACGUAGGGCGCAAGCGUUAUCCGGAAUUAUUGGGCGUAAAGAGCUCGUAGGCGGCUUGUCACGUCGGGUGUGAAAGCCCGGGGCUUAACCCCGGGUCUGCAUUCGAUACGGGCUAGCUAGAGUGUGGUAGGGGAGAUCGGAAUUCCUGGUGUAGCGGUGAAAUGCGCAGAUAUCAGGAGGAACACCGGUGGCGAAGGCGGGUCUCUGGGCCGAUACUGACGCUGAGGAGCGAAAGCGUGGGGAGCAAACAGG
RNAcentral lists this ribosomal RNA (253 nucleotides) under uncultured bacterium. RNAcentral describes it as "partial 16S ribosomal RNA". It matches the Rfam family "Bacterial small subunit ribosomal RNA", at positions 524 to 776 of the family's 1533-position model. The record is from RNAcentral.